This 368-nucleotide ribosomal RNA is filed under the name uncultured organism. RNAcentral describes it as "bacterial SSU rRNA". It matches the Rfam family "Bacterial small subunit ribosomal RNA", at positions 526 to 896 of the family's 1533-position model. The record is from RNAcentral.
CGGAGGGUGCAAGCGUUAUCCGGAUUCACUGGGUUUAAAGGGUGCGUAGGUGGGUUUGUAAGUCAGUGGUGAAAUCUCCGAGCUUAACUCGGAAACUGCCAUUGAUACUAUAGAUCUUGAAUUAUCUGGAGGUGAGCGGAAUAUGUCAUGUAGCGGUGAAAUGCUUAGAUAUGACAUAGAACACCAAUUGCGAAGGCAGCUCACUACGGAUAUAUUGACACUGAGGCACGAAAGCGUGGGGAUCAAACAGGAUUAGAUACCCUGGUAGUCCACGCCCUAAACGAUGGAUACUCGGCAUCAGCGAUACACUGUUGGUGUCUGAGCGAAAGCAUUAAGUAUCCCACCUGGGAAGUACGACCGCAAGGUUG